UACAGAGGGUGCAAGCGUUAAUCGGAAUUACUGGGCGUAAAGCGUGCGCAGGCGGUUUGUUAAGUCUGCUGUGAAAUCCCCGAGCUCAACUUGGGAAUUGCAGUGGAUACUGGCAAGCUGGAGUACGGUAGAGGAAGGUGGAAUUCCCGGUGUAGCAGUGAAAUGCGUAGAGAUCGGGAGGAACACCAGUGGCGAAGGCGGCCUUCUGGACCAGUACUGACGCUCAUGCACGAAAGCGUGGGGAGCAAACAGG
This 253-nucleotide ribosomal RNA is filed under the name uncultured bacterium. Its description in RNAcentral is "partial 16S ribosomal RNA". It matches the Rfam family "Bacterial small subunit ribosomal RNA", at positions 524 to 776 of the family's 1533-position model. The record is from RNAcentral.